This 451-nucleotide ribosomal RNA is filed under the name uncultured bacterium. Its description in RNAcentral is "partial 16S ribosomal RNA". It matches the Rfam family "Bacterial small subunit ribosomal RNA", at positions 29 to 523 of the family's 1533-position model. The record is from RNAcentral.
AACGAACGCUGGCGGCAGGCUUAACACAUGCAAGUCGAACGGGUGCAGCAAUGCAUCAGUGGCAGACGGGUGAGUAACACGUGGGAACCUUCCUCGGGGUACGGAACAACUCAGGGAAACUCGAGCUAAUACCGUAUACGUCCGUGAGGAGAGAGAUUUAUCGCCCUUAGACGGGCCCGCGUCGGAUUAGCGAGUUGGUGGGGUAACGGCCUACCAAGGCGACGAUCCGUAGCUGAUCUUAGAGGAUGAUCAGCCACACUGGGACUGAGACACGGCCCAGACUCCUACGGGAGGCAGCAGUGGGGAAUCUUGGACAAUGGGCGCAAGCCUGAUCCAGCCAUGCCGCGUGAGUGAAGAAGGUCUUCGGAUUGUAAAGCUCUUUUGCCAGGGACGAUAAUGACGGUACCUGGAGAAUAAGCCCCGGCAAACUUCGUGCCAGCAGCCGCAGUAA